This is a non-coding RNA of Manacus vitellinus (golden-collared manakin), 73 nucleotides long. The record is from Rfam. Lineage: Eukaryota; Metazoa; Chordata; Aves; Passeriformes; Pipridae.
CCCCUGGUGGUCUAGUGGUUAGGAUGCAGCACUCUCACCGCUGUGGCCCAGGUUCACAUUCCCGGUCAGGGAA